Molecule: ribosomal RNA, 1119 nt
Filed under: human gut metagenome
Description: bacterial LSU rRNA
Rfam family: Bacterial large subunit ribosomal RNA
Source: RNAcentral
GCAACUGUUUACCAAAAACACAGGUUUGUGCUAAAUCGAAAGAUGACGUAUACGAGCUGACGCCUGCCCGGUGCUGGAAGGUUAAGAGGAGAUGUGCAAGCAUUGAAUCGAAGCCCCAGUGAACGGCGGCCGUAACUAUAACGGUCCUAAGGUAGCGAAAUUCCUUGUCGGGUAAGUUCCGACCCGCACGAAAGGUGUAACGAUUUGGGCACUGUCUCAACGAGGGACCCGGUGAAAUUGAAAUACCUGUGAAGAUGCAGGUUACCCGCGACUGGACAGAAAGACCCCAUGGAGCUUUACUGUAACCUGACAUUGGGUUUUGAUACAUUACGUACAGGAUAGGUGGGAGGCUUGGAAAGCUGGACGCUAGUCUGGCUGGAGCCGACGUUGGGAUACCACCCUUGAUGUAUUGAAAUUCUAACCGCGAGAGUAACGAAAUCCGGGACAGUGUCAGGCGGGCAGUUUGACUGGGGCGGUCGCCUCCGAAAGAGUAACGGAGGCGCCCAAAGGUUCCCUCAGCGCGGCCGGAAAUCGCGCGAAGAGUGUAAAGGCAGAAGGGAGCUUGACUGCGAGUCAAACACGACGAGCAGGUACGAAAGUAGGGCUUAGUGAUCCGGUGGUACCGAGUGGAAGGGCCAUCGCUCAACGGAUAAAAGCUACCCUGGGGAUAACAGGCUAAUCUCUCCCAAGAGUCCAUAUCGACGGGGAGGUUUGGCACCUCGAUGUCGGCUCAUCACAUCCUGGGGCUGAAGUCGGUCCCAAGGGUUGGGCUGUUCGCCCAUUAAAGUGGUACGUGAGCUGGGUUCAGAACGUCGUGAGACAGUUCGGUCCCUAUCCAUCGCGGGCGCAAGAGAUUUGAAGGGGGCUGCUCCUAGUACGAGAGGACCGGAGUGGACGAACCGCUGGUGUACCAAUUAUCCCGCCAGGGGUACAGUUGGGUAGCUACGUUCGGAAAGGAUAAACGCUGAAAGCAUCUAAGCGUGAAACCAGCCUUAAGAUGAGAUCUCUCAUAGAGCAAUCUAGUAAGACACCUUAAAGAAGAUGAGGUUGAUAGGUCGGGAGUGUAAGUACAGCAAUGUAUUGAGCGGACCGAUACUAAUAUGUCGAGGGCUUGACUUA